CCAGCAGCCGCGGUAAUUCCAGCUCCAACGGCGUAUAUUAACGUUGUUGCAGUUAAAAAGCUCGUAGUUGAAGCUAUGAUAUGUCCUUUGAAAUUUCUGUGGGAGUUGCCUUCGGGUGAUUUCUAUAGUGUUUUUAGGCAUGUCGUAUUUUUGCUGUUUUUGGUGUAAGUGGCUUCACUGUCGCUUGCAGCUUGCAGCAUAUUACUGUGAAAAAAUUAGAGUGUUCCAAGCAGAUGUAUAUCUGAAUAGUUCAGCAUGGAAUAAUGGAAUAGGGGAGAUUGCCCUAUCGUUGGUUUUGGGGUGGUUUCUGAUGAUGAAUAGGGACAGUUGGGGGCAUUAGUAUUUAAUUGUCAGAGGUGAAAUUCGAGGAUUUAUGAAAGACUAACUUCUGCGAAGGCAUUUGCCAAGGAUGUUUUCAUUGAUCAAGAACGAAAGU
RNAcentral lists this ribosomal RNA (436 nucleotides) under uncultured eukaryote. Its description in RNAcentral is "SSU rRNA". It matches the Rfam family "Eukaryotic small subunit ribosomal RNA", at positions 567 to 990 of the family's 1831-position model. The record is from RNAcentral.